UACGUAGGGGGCGAGCGUUAAUCGGAUUUACUGGGCGUAAAGCGUGCGCAGGCGGCUCGUUAAGACAGGUGUGAAAUCCCUGGGCUCAACCUAGGAAUUGCGCUUGUGACUGGCGGGCUCGAGUACGGUAGAGGGAGGUGGAAUUCCUGGUGUAGCAGUGAAAUGCGUAGAGAUCAGGAGGAACACCGAUGGCGAAGGCAGCCCCCUGGGCCUGUACUGACGCUCAUGCACGAAAGCGUGGGGAGCAAACAGG
Molecule: ribosomal RNA, 253 nt
Filed under: uncultured microorganism
Description: partial 16S ribosomal RNA
Rfam family: Bacterial small subunit ribosomal RNA
Source: RNAcentral